This is a long non-coding RNA of Drosophila willistoni, 554 nucleotides long. RefSeq lists it as uncharacterized. Lineage: Eukaryota; Metazoa; Arthropoda; Insecta; Diptera; Drosophilidae. The transcript is spliced from 3 exons. The record is from RefSeq and is a predicted model, not a curated record.
UCGAGAACCUCUAAUUCGUUGUUGCAAAUUGAGAGAGAGCGACAAUAGAAUUAGUAGUUAGUAAUUUUUGUUUAACUGGAAAUAAAUAAAAUUCGGGAAAUUAAUAUUCUAUCCUCUUUUGGAACUUGUUGUACAAAAAUUUCAUACAUUUUUUUUUUUGCUUCUAAAUUGAUGUUUAUUUGGCCAAAGGAAGAUAGAUAAAAUUUCAAGUGUUAAAACAAAAAAAGGAAAAAAAUAAAAAAAAAAAAAAACAAUUAAGUGACACUCCGUUUUGUCUCUUCUUCGUCGUCUUCGUCAUCAUCAUCAUCAUCGGGAACGCAGCAAAAGCCCGUCAACAACUAUUUAAAAGAGAGUAGAAGAGUGCUGCUCUCUUUGCCCCACUGCGACUGCGACCGCGCGAGAGAGUGAGAGAUAUUCGUACGGUAACUCUGAUUCUCAUUCACACACAAUAUCAAUUUUGAUAAGCCAAAAACGUAACAAAAGCCGCAGGCGAAAAGGCAAGUGCGCUGAAAAAACAAAACGGAAAGAAUUUCGGAAAAAAAAGAAUAUUUAAA